CUAUAGAUCCUCUUGGCCUCACCAUUCAGGAUGAGCAAAUGCAUCUUCUCUGCCCGGGAAAAGGAAGUAGAAAAAGAAGCAGUUAUGUGGGAAUUAAUUUGCCUGGAAUGAGAGAGACAACGCUGAGUUCACUGCUGUUCCAGAUCCAUUCUGCAUGCCUGUGAAAAGCAGAGUUAAUACUACAGGCACCUACUGCGUCUUGAAGGGAUCUUUGGCAAGGAAAGCAUCUGCUACUUUCCGACUGGCAUUUAG
This 252-nucleotide long non-coding RNA is filed under the name Calidris pugnax (ruff). Its description in RNAcentral is "lncRNA (ENSCPUG00000004996.1)". Lineage: Eukaryota; Metazoa; Chordata; Aves; Charadriiformes; Scolopacidae. The record is from RNAcentral.